CACAAAAUGACCAUUCCUUCUUCUUGGUCGAUAUAGGAAGAUGAGCAAAGACUGAGAUUUGAAGAAAUGGGACUUGAUGGAUUUGCAGUAAUUAAGGAGAGAUGAUGAAUAUAUGAACAAAGACUUGAGCAGAGAUGGAGUCGGGGCAGUGGCGUAUGUUGGCUUUGUUAUAGGUACAAUGAUAGGCCGAUGUAGGAGGUUCAGAAUCAAGUAUAAUGCUAAUGUUACAGAGAACAGAGCCAAAUGGAAUAUCUCAGAGCCAGAGAACAAAGCAGACUGAAAUGCCUUUGAGUUUAAGGAAAGGUGGAUUUUUAUGAACUGACCAAAGAAUGGUUUCUGAAGAUGGGCUGCUUGGACUCAAGUGAUGUUAAUAGGUUUCAACAACACCUCCACAGUGGCUUUAAACAAGUCACAGUGGUUCUUCUCUGAAGAAAUGGCUAAUGACUGCAGUUCUUAAUCCCCAAACUCCAACAGAAUUACUUUAUAAUGAGGCACAUAAAUUUACCAGACCUAUAAUCGAAAGAACCUUUGGUCUUCUAAGAAAUAAUACAGAUGCCUAGCCGAAUAUGGUAGUAUAGAUUAUAUAAAAUCACUCCUUGAAUGUUUGUGAAGGUUUUUUUCUGGGUGUUGCAUAUAACAAAAUGACACUGUCCGAUGUAUAAUUUCUCAAGGAGAGAAUGAGAUCAAUGUAUCAAACCACAAAUAUAUGGUCAAAUAAUUAAAUAGAGUCCAUUUGUAAUAUGAAUUUUCUGUUAAUUUGUGAAUGGCAAGGAAAUGCCUGGUGGAUUGGGCCCUUUUGUUGUUAGAGCAUAAUACUUGAUGUAUACAUUUUCAUCUUUCAUUUGUACACUAUGAGUGUUCCUCUUUGGACUUAUUUGCUCAGGUAAUGUCAUUUCUGAACUCUAAAGACAAACGCUUUAUAAAACCAAUGCACUUGCAUUUGAUUUGCUGAAAUUUGAAGAAAAUAUCUUUUUUGAAUGAGAGAGAUGUCUUGACAAUCAUGUGGCAGAUUGCUAGCUAGGAGACAAAUUGAUUUCAUCUCUAGUGAUUAAAGUGCACAGAAGGUUUUUCAGGGAGACAAAGAUGUUUGAUUUCUUCCAUCUCCUCUUCCUUCUGUGGAGUGGGAAUUUACUGGGAUUCCCCUGGGUGGAUGCCACGAAAUUCUUACAGAGCAGCAUAAGGGGGCUGCAAUGCUUGUAAGCACGGCU
Molecule: long non-coding RNA, 1208 nt
Organism: Chelonia mydas (Green sea turtle)
Lineage: Eukaryota; Metazoa; Chordata; Testudines; Cheloniidae
Exons: 3
Source: RefSeq, a predicted model, not a curated record